This 460-nucleotide ribosomal RNA is filed under the name uncultured bacterium. RNAcentral describes it as "partial 16S ribosomal RNA". It matches the Rfam family "Bacterial small subunit ribosomal RNA", at positions 338 to 795 of the family's 1533-position model. The record is from RNAcentral.
CCUACGGGUGGCAGCAGUGAGGAAUAUUGGUCAAUGGGCGGAAGCCUGAACCAGCCAAGUAGCGUGCAGGAUGACGGCCCUACGGGUUGUAAACUGCUUUUAUACGGGAAUAACGCGCCUUACGUGUACGUCUUUGCAUGUACCUUAUGAAUAAGGACCGGCUAAUUCCGUGCCAGCAGCCGCGGUAAUACGGAAGGUCCGGGCGUUAUCCGGAUUUAUUGGGUUUAAAGGGAGCGUAGACGGGUUGUCAAGCGUGCUGUGAAAUGUCCGGGCUCAACCCGGGACUUGCAGCGGGGACUGGCGUGCUUGAGGCCGCGGAAGGCAGGCGGAAUUCGUGGUGUAGCGGUGAAAUGCUUAGAUAUGACGAAGAACCCCGAUUGCGAAGGCAGCUUGCUGCAGCGGAACUGACGCUGAUGCUCGAAAGCGCGGGUAUCGAACAGGAUUAGAUACCCCAGUAGUC